This 394-nucleotide ribosomal RNA is filed under the name uncultured bacterium. Its description in RNAcentral is "partial 16S ribosomal RNA". It matches the Rfam family "Bacterial small subunit ribosomal RNA", at positions 523 to 917 of the family's 1533-position model. The record is from RNAcentral.
AUACGUAGGGUGCAAGCGUUAAUCGGAAUUACUGGGCGUAAAGCGUGCGCAGGCGGUUUUGUAAGACAGUGGUGAAAUCCCCGGGCUCAACCUGGGAACUGCCCUUGUGACUGCAAGGCUGGAGUGCGGCAGAGGGGGAGGGAAUUCCGCGGGUAGCAGUGAAAUGCGUAGAUAUGCGGAGGAACACCGAUGGCGAAGGCAAUCCCCUGGGCCUGCACUGACGCUCAUGCACGAAAGCGUGGGGAGCAAACAGGAUUAGAUACCCUGGUAGUCCACGCCCUAAACGAUGUCAACUGGUUGUUGGGGAUUUAUUUUCUCAGUAACGAAGCUAACGCGUGAAGUUGACCGCCUGGGGAGUACGGCCGCAAGGUUAAAACUCAAAGGAAUUGACGGG